AUGUUGUCGGCACUGCCGGGCCACGCGAGCUCGAGCUCGUCGGCGACGGCCCCAACCGACCGGGCGACUUCCUCGGCCGCGUCUUCGUCUUCCGCCGCCGGCGACGCGCUGCUCGAGCUCGGCGCGCCCCCCGGCGCCGCCGCCGACGUCCUCCGCGCGCCGCGCAGACUGCAUCUCGUCACGCACGGCGACGGCUGGCUGCCGCGGCCUCCUCCCGGCUCCACCUCGAGGCGCACCACGCCGGCCGCUCCCGCUACGUGCUCUCCGGCUCCACAGCACGUCGACGGACUCCUCCUCGUCACGCACUUGACCAACCCGUCGAGGCUGCUGCUGCCCGUGGUGCACCAUGCCCGGCCACGCACGGCCGCGACCGCCUCGCCCUCGUCGUCGCCGCACUCGAACGGCUCCGCCCUGAGCAGCUCCACGAGGCGGUCGGACCGCAGCCUCGGCUGUGACUGCGCGCCCUGCGCCUGUCCGGCUGGUGUUGGUGAGGUUGCUGGGGCGCGGCGUGGUGCUGGAGCGUGGAGUGCAGCGGCACGGCGAUGGCGCGACGUGGUGGAAGGAGAGCAGCGGCACGGCGAAGAGCGCGACGAAGCGGUUGAUCCCGGAGCACUGGUCCGACGUGAAGAUGCCCCACCACUUGACGGAGCCGUAGGCGAGGAUCAUGGCCACGUACAAUUAGGCCAAGCAAGUGCCCCUCGGCGAGCGAAGCCGGCUUCGCUCGCCGCUGCCGCGCUCCUCCCCUGCUUCCGCUGUACCGAGUGCCCCGCGCCCUGCCAGCACCGGCGCGCGCCCUGGCCGCGGUCGCCCCGCCGCCCGCACCUGCUCCUCGUGCGCCCCGCUAGCCCAGGCAUGCCCCGCCGGCCGCGACCCGCUCUGCUGCCGGCCACUUCUGCCCGAGCCACAGCAGCUCGGCGGCGAGCUUCUCGGCCGCACCAGCUCCGCGAGCCCCCGCACCAGCUCGUACUUGCGGGAGGCCACGUGGAGCCGGGACGCGACCCAGAGCACGCCAGCUCUUGCUGUAAUCGCUCCGCCCCUGCCACGCUUCGCCCGGCCGUGAACUCGCCGGCCAUGCUCCGCCCCGCCCGGCCUCGGUGUUGCUCGUGGCCUCCCCGGAGUCCAUCUCCCUCGCCCCGUCCACGCCUGGCCACGAGCUCCACUCCGCUCCGUCGAGGGCGGCCACAACACGCAGGGCGAGCACGGCGAGCAGGCGGGGAGGCAGGCGCGUCGUGGGGAGAGGGAAGGCGAGCACGUGAGGGUGGGACCUGGAGAAAAAGGAGAGAGAGGGGGUGGGAGGCUGACUAUGGGCCAAUUGCAUGUAAAGUCUUCUCUCUCCGUCCCCAAGUGACUCCCGGUGGGCUGGGUUUCACCUGCGGUCGCCGGCUGAGUUUUUGGAUUAAUCCGGCGAAAAAUGAGAUGUUGGGGCUGUGA
Molecule: ribosomal RNA, 1431 nt
Filed under: Triticum aestivum (bread wheat)
Lineage: Eukaryota; Viridiplantae; Streptophyta; Magnoliopsida; Poales; Poaceae
Description: partial small subunit ribosomal RNA
Source: RNAcentral